ACUGAGUUCAAGUAUAAAGUCAAAACAGUGAGGAAAUAUCAACAAACACUACAACAAAAAGGUCUUUUAGCGGCAAUUAAAUAGCGGCAAUAAGCUAAUGGCCGGUAAAUAAUUCCAAAAAUCCAAAUGCUAACGGCAAUUGUGAAUCAGCCGGUAUUGCGUACCUUUUUACUGGUGAUAAAAAUGAAUGACCACUAAAAGACAUUUCUUGAAAGCUGCUAGUUAAUAUUUUAGCUUACCCUCCAGUUAUUUUCACUAAAAUCACCCAUUCCCUCCAAUUUUAAUCAACAACUAAGUUCAAAAAAUUUGGAAAAUAUUCCAAAAAUACAAACGAAGUUUAUCAUUGCAGUUUCCCUCUUCUUGUUAUCGCUGGCCACCAUCCCACAAUAAAGGCUUCUUUCGUCGCCACUGCGCCUUCUCUGUCGCACUGUUGAUGGCCACCAUCCAUCCCCACGUGAAGACUCUCAUCAUCGAUGCUUGCCCGCUGCUGACUAACUUUUCUCUGUCUCACCCUCACUGGCUGCUAUUUCAUGCUAGGGUAUUGAGGCUUGAGGCAGGACAUACAUACUGCUUUGAGCAAGCUUUCAUCAGAGGUUGGAUGGAAUUAUUAUGACACUAUCAGGAUCUUGAGAAUAAGAGAGCUCAAGCAACAUAUGAGAGGAGAAGUCAGUUAGCGAAACAAGCAGUACAAGCACCACGAAUGCCAUUUCAAACUUCAAAGUCAUGUGAACUUGAUAUUUAGUGGAAAAUAAGUUUUUACAAGAGAAGAUAUAAAGGUACAAACAAUCGAUUUUUUCGGUGAAUUUCAGGAAGUGUGUGUUCCUAUUUCUAUUAAUAAGAAGACCUUAAUUCUUGUUAACACACUAGUGUAAGGAGAGAUUACGUAUAUUAGCAUUUAUUUGUAAGUAUCGGUGUGACACAAGCUUUGGUACCUAUCUUCGUGUGCAUGUUUAAUAUUAAGCAGAGGAGUAAAAUCUCGAAAAUGGAGUAAAAAUAUCACCUUUGCAUCCUUGUCGG
Molecule: long non-coding RNA, 1017 nt
Organism: Nicotiana attenuata
Lineage: Eukaryota; Viridiplantae; Streptophyta; Magnoliopsida; Solanales; Solanaceae
Exons: 4
Source: RefSeq, a predicted model, not a curated record